UUACCGGGGCGGCGGCGGCGGCGGCACCUUCCCCUGGAAACGGCGGCGGCGGCGGCGGCUGCUGAGUGGCUGCGGCCGCCGCGGGGCCCGCCCCCUCGUCCCCGCCCACCCGGGGAAGCCCCGCCCAACCGGGGCCAAGCCCCGCCCAAGCAGGGUAAAACCACGCCCACCGGGGCGAAGCCCCGCCCACGCGGAGGGCGGGGCGGGGAUUCCCGGCCGCACAAGCCCCGACUUGCCCGCGGGGGGGCGGGGCGGUGGGGGGGUGACGUCACGGCGGGAGGGGGCGGGGCCCUGCCCAGAGCGGGCAGCGCGGCGCGCGCUGCCAGACCCAGCCGGUGCCGGCGGCGCGAGCGGUUCAUGCGGCUGCGACCCCCCCGGCAGCGAUGGCCAGCGAAGGGUCCCUCGCCGAGCCGCCCGCCCCCCCGCCCGCACCCCCCGCCUGCCGCCGCGGGGGGGGGCCCGCUGGGCCUGCGGGUCCCCCUGGCCCCCCCACGCCGCCACCCCCGCCUGAGCUGCGCCUGUCCCGGGGGGGGGGUGUCCCGGCCUGCCCCCCCCGCCGCACCCCGCCCGCGCCAUCGGCCUCUGUCGCUGCGGGACGCCAGGACCCCCCCCCGCCACCCACGGCGAGUUUCACCCCAUGGAGAACGGGCCCCCCCCACGAGGGCCCCCCACAAAGCGGGGGGGGGAAGCCGGGGGGGGGGCUGUCCCCAACGGCCACCUCCCCGGGGACCCCCCCGGCCCCGAGCGGGAGCUGGGCGCCCGCCUGCGCCGCCUGGGCGACGCCUUCCAGCAGACCUACGAGCAGCAGCGGGGAGGCGUCGGCGGCGUGUUUUGGGGUCACCUCUACCGCCUGGUCUCGCAGUUGCUGGGAGCCGUCUACAACCUGCAGGGGAGGGAAGGCAACUAGCGCCCCCCCCCCCCCCCCCCCAAUUAUAUUUAUUUAAUUUAUUGGGGUUUAACUGGGGGGAGGAGGGGCGUGGGGAAGAAAAAGGGGGGGGGGGGGCGGACACGGGGGAACACACC
This is a long non-coding RNA of Chroicocephalus ridibundus (black-headed gull), 1023 nucleotides long. RefSeq lists it as uncharacterized. The record is from RefSeq and is a predicted model, not a curated record. Lineage: Eukaryota; Metazoa; Chordata; Aves; Charadriiformes; Laridae. The transcript is spliced from 4 exons.